GGCAAUGCUUUCUAGGGUUCCGCCGAAAGGGACUGGUCCAAGAGAAGGCGGCGGUUCGAUGAACCGUACACGGAGGGAUAAAAGCCCGGGAGGU
RNAcentral lists this small RNA (94 nucleotides) under Desulfotomaculum nigrificans. RNAcentral describes it as "Guanidine-I sequence". It matches the Rfam family "Guanidine-I riboswitch aptamer". From Rfam's summary of the family: This family represents a conserved RNA structure found upstream of the ykkC and yxkD genes in Bacillus subtilis and related genes in other bacteria. RNAcentral also lists the same sequence under 1 other name. Lineage: Bacteria; Bacillati; Bacillota; Clostridia; Eubacteriales; Desulfotomaculaceae. The record is from RNAcentral.